CUCAACCUAGGAAUUGCAUUCCAAACUGGCGGGCUAGAGUCCGGAAGAGGGAGGUGGAAUUCCCCGUGUAGCGGUGAAAUGCGUAGAUAUGGGGAGGAACACCGGUGGCGAAGGCGACCUCCUGGUCCGGUACUGACGCUGAGGCGCGAAAGCGUGGGUAGCGAACGGGAUUAGAUACCCCGGUAGUCCACGCCGUAAACGUUGAGAACUAGGUGUGGGGAAGCUUGCCUUCUCCGUGCCGAAGCUAACGCGUUAAGUUCUCCGCCUGGGGAGUACGGCCGCAAGGCUAAAACUCAAAGGAAUUGACGGGGGCCCGCACAAGCGGUGGAGCAUGUGGUUUAAUUCGAUGCAACGCGAAGAACCUUACCUGGGCUUGACAUCAUCCGGAAUCCUCUAGAGAUAGGGGAGUGCCUUCGGGAGCCG
This 423-nucleotide ribosomal RNA is filed under the name uncultured bacterium. RNAcentral's name for it is "bacterial SSU rRNA". It matches the Rfam family "Bacterial small subunit ribosomal RNA", at positions 608 to 1029 of the family's 1533-position model. The record is from RNAcentral.